RNAcentral lists this ribosomal RNA (1582 nucleotides) under Micromys minutus (European harvest mouse). RNAcentral's name for it is "16S ribosomal RNA". It matches the Rfam family "Bacterial large subunit ribosomal RNA", at positions 367 to 2851 of the family's 2925-position model. The record is from RNAcentral. Lineage: Eukaryota; Metazoa; Chordata; Mammalia; Rodentia; Muridae.
ACCAACCCUAGCCCAAAAACAAACCAACAUAAGUAUUAUCUUCUUAUUAAACUAAAUCAUUUAGUUUCACAAAAGUAUUGGAGAAAGAAAUUAAUUAUCAGGAGCUAUAGAGUUAGUACCGCAAGGGAAAGAUGAAAGAAUAUCGUAAAAGUAAAAACAAGCAAAGAUUAGACCUUGUACCUUUUGCAUAAUGAAUUAACUAGAAUAACUCUAGCUAAAAGAAUUUCAGCUAGAAACCCCGAAACCAAACGAGCUACCUAAGAACAAUUUUAUGAAUUAACCCGUCUAUGUAGCAAAAUAGUGGGAAGAUUUUUAGGUAGAGGUGAUAAGCCAAACGAGCUUGGUGAUAGCUGGUUACCCAAAAAAUGAAUUUCAGUUCAACUUUAAAUUUACUAUAAGAAUUUAUAAUCAAAACGUAAGUUUAAAAUAUAGCCGAAAGAGGGACAGCUCUUUCGGCAAAGGAAAAACCUUUCAUAGAGAAUUAGCCUUUUUAAUCCCUGCCUAACCAUUGUCGGCUUAAAAGCAGCCACCAAUAAAGAAAGCGUUCAAGCUCAACACUUAAAUCUAUUAAUACCAAAAAUUUUAACUAAUUCCUAUUUCAUUACUGGGUUAAUCUAUUAAUUUAUAGAUGAAAUACUGUUAAUAUGAGUAACAAGAAAAUAUUUCUCCUAGCACAAGUGUAUAACAAUCCGGAUAACCAUUGUUAGUUACCGACUAACAGGUAUUAAACUACUUAUUGAACUACCUAACUUAUUACCGUUAACCCAACACAGGAGUGCUUCAAGGAAAGAUUAAAAAAAAUAAAAGGAACUCGGCAAACCCGAACCCCGCCUGUUUACCAAAAACAUCACCUCUAGCAUUACAAGUAUUAGAGGCACUGCCUGCCCAGUGACUUAAGUUAAACGGCCGCGGUAUCCUGACCGUGCAAAGGUAGCAUAAUCACUUGUUCCUUAAUUAGGGACUAGAAUGAAUGGCUUAACGAGGGUUCAACUGUCUCUUAUUUUUAAUCAGUGAAAUUGACCUUCCAGUGAAGAGGCUGGAAUAAAAUAAUAAGACGAGAAGACCCUAUGGAGCUUAAAUUUUAUAGUUUAAUAUAUACGUACAUUUACAUACCCUAAUGGCACAAUAAAAUAUAAUUAUAAACUAAAAAUUUUGGUUGGGGUGACCUCGGAGAACAAAAAAACCUCCGAAUGAUUUUAACUUAGACCUACAUGUCAAAGUAAACAAAAAAUCUUAUUGACCCAAAAUACAUUUGAUCAACGGACCAAGUUACCCUAGGGAUAACAGCGCAAUCCUAUUUAAGAGUUCAUAUCGACAAUUAGGGUUUACGACCUCGAUGUUGGAUCAGGACAUCCCAAUGGUGCAGAAGCUAUUAAUGGUUCGUUUGUUCAACGAUUAAAGUCCUACGUGAUCUGAGUUCAGACCGGAGUAAUCCAGGUCGGUUUCUAUCUAUUCACAAUUUCUCCCAGUACGAAAGGACAAGAGAAAUAGAGCCACCUUAAUAAUAAGCGCUCUAAACAAAAAUCUAUGAAUCAAAUCUUAACAGAGUGAUGUAUGUACAAUACUCAACCUAGACAAGGUU